Triticum aestivum (bread wheat) is the source of this 112-nucleotide non-coding RNA. The record is from Rfam. Lineage: Eukaryota; Viridiplantae; Streptophyta; Magnoliopsida; Poales; Poaceae.
UAAGUACUCCCUCCGUUCGGAAUUACUUGUCGUAGAAAUGGAUGUAUCUAGACAUUUUUUAGUUCUAGAUACAUCCACUGCGACAAGUAAUUCAGGACGGAGGGAGUAGUAG